Molecule: long non-coding RNA, 1767 nt
Organism: Bombus pascuorum
Lineage: Eukaryota; Metazoa; Arthropoda; Insecta; Hymenoptera; Apidae
Exons: 3
Source: RefSeq, a predicted model, not a curated record
CGCGCGUAAACCACCGGCACGCUUUUCACGCGCACGUUCCUUACGUCGUUCUUUCUGUGUCACGUGGCCACUUGACUUCAUUCAUGGAGACAGGUCUUUUAUACUACGAGCGUGUAUGCGUCCUCCAUAAAAAUGCACGCAGUGUAAUGAACGCUUCUACGAAUCGGCCGCAACCAACCAAAACAUAAUCGAUUCGAGGAAAACCGAAUUUUAUAAGCUACACGUAAUCGAAAAAUCAACACGUGUCUUAUUCCCUUGCUGGUUUCUUAUUCUACAUGCACUCGUGAUUCAACUUUAACCAAUAAGUGGUAGCCGUUACACACGACAUCUCGCAGUAGCUGUUUUCCAAAUUACUAUCAUUACCAAAGUAAAAGUUGCCUGGACGCGAUAAACUUCGCCUUACCAGUUAGAGGUUAAAAUCAUCUUUACAUCUAUCGCUUUUUCAAUCUUCCACAAAUACCUCCAAACGUGUAUCUUCCCUUUUAUGAUUGCCAAACUUAAAACAUGGUGUGCAAACAUUGCCCAACACCGGCGAACCGUUCGCCGGCUGCUUCUAAACAGUUUCCUGCACGAAAGCAGUCGCGAUUCGUUCGUUACCUACAUUUCCCUAUCGGCGACGAUUUCUCACCGCCCCCCCCCUCUCUCUCUCUCUCUCUCUCUCAUUCUCUCUCUUCAUUCCCGGCCUUAGCAAGGUAAAAUCGCGCGUCGCAGUCACGUAAGCGUGGCCUCUCCGUGAAGAGGACACGGAUGCCUCGGUCUACCGGUAUUUAAUUAAGCCCGGUCGUUCGAGAAAAAAAGCUGUUGGUACAGGAAGCGAUGGGUUUCGAGUACGCCGAGCAGCGGACCGUAGUUCGAGCCCCGUUACGGGACAGAUUCAUUGGCGUAGUCCCAAUCGAUCGGCCAAUGUCCUUUGCACAACGGAUGUUUGUGCAUCGUGGCGCCUCGACGCCGUUGCAGAAUGCCGGUGCAACUUCUCGCUGGUAUUCCGCAGGGAUCGCGAACCGCGUCGACCUUAAAAAUUAUCGACACGAGACCCGAGAGUAAUGGUCAGAGCAGAACACCGGCUUUGUCUUUGUCGCGCGUUCCCUUUUUCCGCUUUAUCUCGCUCUAUCUGUCCACCACGAAAGGCAAACGAUCCGUGUUGUUUUUCAGCCUGACAAGAAAACGGACGGUCGAUGCACUUUCAAUCGCAGGUCGAUCGCGAUACGUAAUCUCUGAGCGCACAGAGGCAACCAAAUCGAGUAAUGUGCAUACUAUGAGAUUCGAAUGGAAGAAUUAAGAUGAAAAAAUACACGAUUUGCCACCUGCAUAUUAUUAUCCUUGAUAAACGUGCUGUCUAAUUUUAGCAUGAUCGUAGGAUAAUGGGAAUGAGAUUUGACAUAAUGAUUGUUUGCUCAAUAGCGUAGAGUUUAGAAAAUAUGUAGAACAAAAUGAGGAAAUGAAGAUCGAGCUGAUUUCACAGGUAGUGAAGCUUUCUGUGGUUUUAGAAUAGCGUAAAGUAUAGAAGAUCGUAAAACGUAUCUUCCUUUUAAUGAGCCACUACUAUUCAACCAUCUUUCUCACGUAUGAAGAAUUCACAAUACUUUAUUGUUCAGUCUCUGAAGACGACAGACUUUUGUCUCCUUCUAAUAGUCGCUACAACAUUAAAAUAUCUUCCGGUGUGAUUGUAACUGAUCGUAACUGAUCGUAACUGCCAAGCUAUUGCAUUAACAUCUGUUAUUUAUGAUUAAUAAUUAUUUAAUGUUAUUCUGUGUACAAGAUGUAUCA